UACAGAGGUCCCAAGCGUUGUUCGGAUUCACUGGGCGUAAAGGGUGCGUAGGCGGUUGGAUAAGUCUGAUGUGAAAUCUCCGAGCCUAACUCGGAAACUGCAUCGGAAACUAUCCGGCUUGAGGGUUGGAGGGGAGACUGGAAUUCUCGGUGUAGCAGUGAAAUGCGUAGAUAUCGAGAGGAACACCAGUGGCGAAGGCGAGUCUCUGGACAACUCCUGACGCUGAGGCACGAAAGCUAGGGGAGCAAACAGG
Molecule: ribosomal RNA, 253 nt
Filed under: uncultured bacterium
Lineage: Bacteria
Description: partial 16S ribosomal RNA
Rfam family: Bacterial small subunit ribosomal RNA
Source: RNAcentral